Non-coding RNA from Caretta caretta (loggerhead turtle), 362 nucleotides. NCBI's taxonomy places the organism in Eukaryota, Metazoa, Chordata, Testudines, Cheloniidae. The record is from the annotation of a RefSeq genome assembly.
GUGCCCGGUCCCAGGUGCAGUUGGUGGAGUCCGGAGGGGAUGUGAAAAAGCCCGGAGACUCUCUCCGCCUCUCCUGCAAAGCCUCCGGCUUCACCUUCAGCAGCUACUGGAUGAGCUGGGUCAGACAGGCCCCUGGGAAGGGACUGGAGUGGAUCGGGGAAAUACACCCAACUUCAACUACCAUCAACUACGCACAGCCCUUCAAGGGACGCUUCACCAUCUCCAGGGACAACCCCAACAACCUGCUGUAUCUGCAAAUGACCGGCCUGAAAUCCGAGGACACCGCCCGGUAUCACUGUGCGACAGACACAGUGCGGGAAAGCCGGGCUGAGCUCAGACAAAAACCUGCCCUCGCUGGCUAA